GCCGGAAUGGUGGAAUUGGUAGACACGCGAGACUUAAAAUCUCGUGCUCUUCGGGGCGUGUGGGUUCAAGUCCCACUUCUGGUA
This 84-nucleotide transfer RNA is filed under the name Bacteroidota bacterium. Its description in RNAcentral is "Bacteroidetes bacterium tRNA-Leu". It matches the Rfam family "tRNA". Rfam says of the family: Transfer RNA (tRNA) molecules are approximately 80 nucleotides in length. Their secondary structure includes four short double-helical elements and three loops (D, anti-codon, and T loops). The record is from RNAcentral. Lineage: Bacteria; Pseudomonadati; Bacteroidota.